AACGAACGCUGGCGGCAGGCUUAACACAUGCAAGUCGAACGCUCGUAGCAAUACGGGAGUGGCAGACGGGUGAGUAACGCGUGGGAACAUGCCCUUUGGUUCGGAACAACUCCGGGAAACUGGAGCUAAAACCGGAUAAGCCCUACGGGGGAAAGAUUUAUCGCCGAAGGAUUGGCCCGCGUCUGAUUAGCUAGUUGGUGGGGUAAUGGCCCACCAAGGCGACGAUCAGUAGCUGGUCUGAGAGGAUGAUCAGCCACACUGGGACUGAGACACGGCCCAGACUCCUACGGGUGGCUG
This 297-nucleotide ribosomal RNA is filed under the name uncultured Pseudomonadota bacterium. Its description in RNAcentral is "uncultured proteobacterium partial 16S ribosomal RNA". It matches the Rfam family "Bacterial small subunit ribosomal RNA", at positions 29 to 351 of the family's 1533-position model. Lineage: Bacteria; Pseudomonadati; Pseudomonadota. The record is from RNAcentral.